Homo sapiens (human) is the source of this 568-nucleotide long non-coding RNA. The record is from Ensembl. NCBI's taxonomy places the organism in Eukaryota, Metazoa, Chordata, Mammalia, Primates, Hominidae.
GGUGGUUUCUGAGCCCCCCUCUUAGAGUCUGAGCCACCCUAUUAGUGUCUGAGCCACCCUAUUAGUGUCUGAGGACCCUGGUGGUGUCUGAGCACAGGAAGGAAAGCAGACCACAUGGAAGCAGAUGAAGGAAAAAGCAGACCACGUGGGAGCCGGAUGAAGGGAAGGUUUCUAUGAAAUUGAAACAGCCUAUCUGCCAGUGGAGAAAGUUAUUUCAUCCUUUUUUGCCUGCAGUGAGAAAGGGGGAAAUCAGAGCCACAGAGAAGAGAAUGAAAUGUCCCUGAGGACAUCUGAGAAUUAGAGAAAAGAAAGCCUCAGAUUCUAAGGAGAAGUCCUCGCCACUUCCCAUCUGAGCCUGCUCUUCAGUGGACCCAAGUGUCGAGUGCAUCCUGCACAUCUCAGGCCCCCAGGAGGGAGGGUCCUGUCUGGGUUCACACGGCAUCCCCUCACUGUGUCUCCCACAGGAAUACCUGGCUGUCCUGUGGGUUCCUGGAGCUCCGCCGCAGGGAGCGCUGCUUGUUGGAUGAGUCUCUGGAUGGAGAUGAGGCUCUUGAGAGGCGGCGGUUGU